This 754-nucleotide ribosomal RNA is filed under the name Thalassiella sp. Its description in RNAcentral is "bacterial SSU rRNA". It matches the Rfam family "Bacterial small subunit ribosomal RNA", at positions 85 to 851 of the family's 1533-position model. The record is from RNAcentral. Lineage: Bacteria; Bacillati; Actinomycetota; Actinomycetes; Kineosporiales; Kineosporiaceae.
UGGGGGAUCAGUGGCGAACGGGUGAGUAACACGUGAGCAACCUGCCCCUGACUCUGGGAUAACUCCGGGAAACCGGUGCUAAUACCGGAUAUGACCUGCGUGGGCAUCUGCGUGGGUGGAAAGAUUUAUCGGUCAGGGAUGGGCUCGCGGCCUAUCAGCUUGUUGGUGGGGUGAUGGCCUACCAAGGCGACGACGGGUAGCCGGCCUGAGAGGGCGACCGGCCACACUGGGACUGAGACACGGCCCAGACUCCUACGGGAGGCAGCAGUGGGGAAUAUUGCUCAAUGGGCGCAAGCCUGAAGCAGCGACGCCGCGUGAGGGAUGAAGGCCUUCGGGUUGUAAACCUCUUUCAGCAGGGAAGAAGCGCAAGUGACGGUACCUGCAGAAGAAGCACCGGCUAACUACGUGCCAGCAGCCGCGGUAAUACGUAGGGUGCAAGCGUUGUCCGGAAUUAUUGGGCGUAAAGAGCUCGUAGGCGGUCUGUCGCGUCUGCUGUGAAAACCUGGGGCUUAACCCCGGGCCUGCAGUGGGUACGGGCAGACUAGAGUGCGGUAGGGGAGACUGGAAUUCCUGGUGUAGCGGUGAAAUGCGCAGAUAUCAGGAGGAACACCGGUGGCGAAGGCGGGUCUCUGGGCCGUAACUGACGCUGAGGAGCGAAAGCAUGGGUAGCGAACAGGAUUAGAUACCCUGGUAGUCCAUGCCGUAAACGUUGGGCGCUAGGUGUGGGGCUCAUUCCACGAGUUCCGUGCCGCAG